This 866-nucleotide ribosomal RNA is filed under the name uncultured bacterium. Its description in RNAcentral is "bacterial SSU rRNA". It matches the Rfam family "Bacterial small subunit ribosomal RNA", at positions 8 to 864 of the family's 1533-position model. The record is from RNAcentral.
AGAGUUUGAUCAUGGCUCAGAUUGAACGCUGGCGGCAGGCUUAACACAUGCAAGUCGAACGGUAACAGGGAGGAGCUUGCUUCUUUGCUGACGAGUGGCGGACGGGUGAGUAAUACUUGGGAAUCUGGCUUAUGGAGGGGGAUAACUACGGGAAACUGUAGCUAAUACCGCGUAAUAUCUUCGGAUUAAAGGGUGGGACUUUCGGGCCACCUGCCAUAAGAUGAGCCCAAGUGGGAUUAGGUAGUUGGUGGGGUAAAGGCCUACCAAGCCGACGAUCUCUAGCUGGUCUGAGAGGAUGACCAGCCACACUGGAACUGAGACACGGUCCAGACUCCUACGGGAGGCAGCAGUGGGGAAUAUUGCACAAUGGGGGGAACCCUGAUGCAGCCAUGCCGCGUGAAUGAAGAAGGCCUUCGGGUUGUAAAGUUCUUUCGGUGAUGAGGAAGGUGUUUGUUUUAAUAGAGCAAGCAAUUGACGUUAGUCACAGAAGAAGCACCGGCUAACUCCGUGCCAGCAGCCGCGGUAAUACGGAGGGUGCGAGCGUUAAUCGGAAUGACUGGGCGUAAAGGGCACGCAGGCGGUGACUUAAGUGAGAUGUGAAAGCCCCGAGCUUAACUUGGGAAUUGCAUUUCAUACUGGGUCGCUAGAGUAUUUUAGGGAGGGGUAGAAUUCCACGUGUAGCGGUGAAAUGCGUAGAGAUGUGGAGGAAUACCGAAGGCGAAGGCAGCCCCUUGGGAAUAUACUGACGCUCAUGUGCGAAAGCGUGGGGAGCAAACAGGAUUAGAUACCCUGGUAGUCCACGCUGUAAACGCUGUCUGAUUUGGGGAUUGGGCUUAGAGCUUGGUGCCCGUAGCUAACGUGAUAAA